AUGAAUGCCUUGUUCUGGAAUGUGAGAGGGAUUGCUGCCCCUGGUAGGAAAGCUUUGAUCCUGGAAACUAUGGCUAAAACCCAUGCUUCCAUUGUAGGUUUCCAAGAAACUAAGAAAGAGGAGUUUUCUGACUCCUUCCUAAAAUCUCUGGUAGGUAAUAGAAAUUUUUCCUGGCAUCACCUACCAGCCCAAGGCUCUGCUGGGGGCAUCCUGAUGGGAGUGGACCUAGACAUCUUAGAAGUUGUCUCCUGGUCCAACUUAGAAUCCUCUGUUAGUUGUGUUGUGAAGUUGAAAACUACUGAUAAUCCAUUUAGAGUCAUUACUGUCUAUGGUUCUCCUUAUGAAGAAGGGAAGGAAGAAUUUAUCUCUGAGCUUCAUACCUUGUUUUUAGAAGACCCCCUUCCCACCCUUAUAGGGGGAGAUUUUAACCUAGUGAGAUAUGCCAAGGAUAAAAGUAAUGGCAAUAUUAACCAUAGAUGGAGUGAUAAUUUCAAUGCCUGGGUUGAGAUCUGGAGCUUGCUUGAGAUUAAGCUGUCUAGCAGGAGAUUCACCUGGGCCAACAAUCAGGUGGACCUAAUCAUGUUUACCAUAGAUAGGCUCUUCUAUAAUACUGAGUUGGACAUGAUCUUCCCCAUGGCAUCCUGUGGGGCUUUGCCUAGGUGUGGGAGUGACCAUGUUCCUUUAAUUUGGGAGUCUGGUUUAAACCAAACCCCUAAGUGUAGUAGUUAUAAAAUGGAGAAAUGGUGGCUCCUAAGAGAAGACUUCUCCAAUCUAGUUACUAGAAUUUGGAAUAAGACCACUAAUGCCUCCUCCCAUAUUGAGAACUGGUAA
This 831-nucleotide ribosomal RNA is filed under the name Triticum aestivum (bread wheat). RNAcentral describes it as "partial small subunit ribosomal RNA". Lineage: Eukaryota; Viridiplantae; Streptophyta; Magnoliopsida; Poales; Poaceae. The record is from RNAcentral.